CUACGGGCGGCAGCAGUUAGGAAUAUUCUGCAAUGCGCGCAAGCGUGACAGAUUGAACCAGAGUGCUUUUCAACUGAAAAGCUUUUGUGGAAUGUAAAAAGUUCUACGAAUAAGGACUGGGUAAGACUAGUGCCAGCCGCCGCGGUAAUACUAGCGGUCCAAGUCGCAGCCAUUUUUAUUGGGUCUAAAACAUCCGUAGCUUGCUUGAUAAGUUUCCUGUGAAAUUUUAUGUCUUAAACAUGAAGCGGGCAGGAAGUACUGUCAAGCUAGAGACUGGAAGACGGAAAAAGUACGUUCAAAGUAGCGGUAAAAUGUUUUGAUCUUGAACGGACUCUCAAUAGCGAAGGCAUUUUCCGAGGACAGUUCUGACAGUAAGGGAUGAAGGCUAGGGGCGCAAAACGGAUUAGAUACCCCGGUAGUC
RNAcentral lists this ribosomal RNA (421 nucleotides) under uncultured archaeon. RNAcentral's name for it is "partial 16S ribosomal RNA". It matches the Rfam family "Archaeal small subunit ribosomal RNA", at positions 323 to 746 of the family's 1478-position model. The record is from RNAcentral.